AUUGAACGCUGGCGGCAGGCCUAACACGUGCAAGUCGAACGGUAGCACAGAGAGCUUGCUCUCGGGUGACGAGUGGCGGACGGGUGAGUAACGUCUGGGAAACUGCCCGAUGGAGGGGGAUAACUACUGGAAACGGUAGCUAAUACCGCAUAACGUCGCGAGACCAAAGUGGGGGACCUUCGGGCCUCACACCAUCGGAUGUGCCCAGAUGGGAUUAGCUAGUAGGUGGGGUAAUGGCUCACCUAGGCGACGAUCCCCAGCUGGUCUGAGAGGAUGACCAGCCACGCUGGAACUGAGACACGGUCCAGACUCCUACGGGAGGCAGCAGUGGGGAAUAUUGCACAAUGGGCGCAAGCCUGAUGCAGCCAUGCCGCGUGUAUGAAGAAGGCCUUCGGGUUGUAAAGUACUUUCAGCGGGGAGGAAGGCGGUGGAGUUAAUAACUUCACCGAUUGACGUUACCCGCAGAAGAAGCACCGGCUAACUCCGUGCCAGCCGCCGCCGUAA
Molecule: ribosomal RNA, 504 nt
Filed under: uncultured bacterium
Lineage: Bacteria
Description: partial 16S ribosomal RNA
Rfam family: Bacterial small subunit ribosomal RNA
Source: RNAcentral